RNAcentral lists this ribosomal RNA (386 nucleotides) under Quedenfeldtia moerens. RNAcentral's name for it is "partial 12S ribosomal RNA". It matches the Rfam family "Bacterial small subunit ribosomal RNA", at positions 875 to 1402 of the family's 1533-position model. The record is from RNAcentral. Lineage: Eukaryota; Metazoa; Chordata; Lepidosauria; Squamata; Sphaerodactylidae.
UCAAACACCACCACGAUGCCCGCCAGAAGACUACGAGUGAAAAACUCAAAACUCAAAGGACUUGACGGUGUCCCACAUCAACCUAGAGGAGCCUGUCCUAUAAUCGAUACUCCACGCUUCACCUUACCCCCUCUUGUAGAUCCAACCUAUAUACCGCCGUCGUCAGCUCACCUCGUAAGAGCCCCCACUGUGAGCCCCAAAGCCCCUCGCUCUCACGCCAGGUCAAGGUGUAGUCCAUGGGGGGGGCAGCGAUGGGCUACAUUUUCUAACCUAGAUCACACCCACGCACACAUGAAACAUCUGCCAAAAGGCGGAUUUAGCAGUAAGCACAGCAAGCAUGCUCACCUGAACCCCGCCCUGGGACGCGCACACACCGCCCGUCACCC